Molecule: non-coding RNA, 92 nt
Organism: Pisolithus sp. B1
Lineage: Eukaryota; Fungi; Basidiomycota; Agaricomycetes; Boletales; Pisolithaceae
Source: the annotation of a GenBank genome assembly
UCGGAUAUGGUGUAACGGCUAACAUUGCCGCCUCUCACUAUGAGGAUACGUGCGAAACGCGGCAGCUCGGGGUUCGAUUCCCCGUAUCCGAG